UACGUAGGGUGCAAGCGUUGUCCGGAAUUAUUGGGCGUAAAGAGCUCGUAGGCGGUCUGUCGCGUCGGCUGUGAAAUCCCGAGGCUCAACCUCGGGUCUGCAGUCGAUACGGGCAAACUGGAGUGUUGCAGGGGAGAAUGGAAUUCCAGGUGUAGCGGUGAAAUGCGUAGAUAUCAGGAGGAACACCAAUAGCGAAGGCAGCUCGCUGGGACGGUACUGACGCUGAGGAGCGAAAGCGUGGGGAGCGAACAGG
Molecule: ribosomal RNA, 253 nt
Filed under: uncultured bacterium
Lineage: Bacteria
Description: partial 16S ribosomal RNA
Rfam family: Bacterial small subunit ribosomal RNA
Source: RNAcentral